UAGGGAAUCUUCGGCAAUGGGGGGAACCCUGACCGAGCAACGCCGCGUGAGUGGAGAAGGUUUUCGGAUCGUAAAGCUCUGUUGUAAGAGAAGAACGGGUGUGAGAGUGGAAAGUUCACACUGUGACGGUAUCUUACCAGAAAGGGACGGCUAACUACGUGCCAGCAGCCGCGGUAAUACGUAGGUCCCGAGCGUUGUCCGGAUUUAUUGGGCGUAAAGCGAGCGCAGGCGGUUAGAUAAGUCUGAAGUUAAAGGCUGUGGCUUAACCAUAGUAUGCUUUGGAAACUGUUUAACUUGAGUGCAGAAGGGGAGAGUGGAAUUCCAUGUGUAGCGGUGAAAUGCGUAGAUAUAUGGAGGAACACCGGUGGCGAAAGCGGCUCUCUGGUCUGUAACUGACGCUGAGGCUCGAAAGCGUGGGGAGCAAACAGGAUUAGAUACCCUGGUAGUCCACGCCGUAAACGAUGAGUGCUAGGUGUUAGGCCCUUUCCGGGGCUUAGUGCCGCAGCUAACGCAUUAAGCACUCCGCCUGGGGAGUACGACCGCAAGGUUG
This 550-nucleotide ribosomal RNA is filed under the name uncultured bacterium. RNAcentral describes it as "bacterial SSU rRNA". It matches the Rfam family "Bacterial small subunit ribosomal RNA", at positions 355 to 896 of the family's 1533-position model. The record is from RNAcentral.